Molecule: long non-coding RNA, 564 nt
Filed under: Mytilus galloprovincialis (Mediterranean mussel)
Lineage: Eukaryota; Metazoa; Mollusca; Bivalvia; Mytilida; Mytilidae
Source: RNAcentral
GUCUGGUUACUCAAGGUCCUUUGAAUACUUUUUGUUUUUCAACACAAAAGGCAACAAUCAAGGGGCAUGACAUAUAAAUAGUCAAUUCAGUUUAAAUAUUCAUCAUAAUUAAAAGUAAAAUUAUUUGUUAUAAUGAAGUAUUAGCAUAUCAUAAUCAUUAUGUAUGUUUUUCUGUAUUUACAACAAAUACAUAUACAAAUCACAUUGUGGGGAAUAUUAAUCUAAUGAUGAAUGCACUCUCUAUACAAUGAAGAAAAUCCCCAAUAAAAAAUGAAAUUUAAAGUAUUUGAAUACCAGAAUUAUACAAAAAGAAUCACUGGUGUGACACUUUCCAAAGUUUCUUCGUAUGUAUGAUGUCAUCUUAAGUCUUCAUAAUCUAAUGUCUUUUAGAAAUUUGUUUUUAUUUAUGCCAAGGUUCUCUAAGUUUUAUUUAGAUAGGCAUUUAUAUUGUUAUGGUAUAAAUGAUAAAAUUAUGUUUUUUCAAAGUUAAAUGCAAUUGGGGGGAAAAGAUUAAUACUACACAUAUCAAGUAAGAAACAACACAGUUCAUACCUACAAGGUACU